GGAGAGGUGGCCGAGUGGCUGAAGGCGCACGCCUGGAAAGUGUGUAUAGGGUUCACGCUCUAUCGAGGGUUCGAAUCCCUCUCUCUCCGCCA
Molecule: transfer RNA, 92 nt
Filed under: marine bacterium B5-7
Lineage: Bacteria; Pseudomonadati; Pseudomonadota; Gammaproteobacteria
Description: tRNA-Ser
Rfam family: tRNA
About the family: Transfer RNA (tRNA) molecules are approximately 80 nucleotides in length. Their secondary structure includes four short double-helical elements and three loops (D, anti-codon, and T loops).
Source: RNAcentral